This 379-nucleotide ribosomal RNA is filed under the name uncultured Basidiomycota. Its description in RNAcentral is "eukaryotic LSU rRNA". The stretch from base 1 to 125 matches the Rfam family "5.8S ribosomal RNA", at positions 30 to 154 of the family's 154-position model. Lineage: Eukaryota; Fungi; Basidiomycota. The record is from RNAcentral.
GCAUCGAUGAAGAACGCAGCGAAAUGCGAUAAGUAAUGUGAAUUGCAGAAUUCAGUGAAUCAUCGAAUCUUUGAACGCAUCUUGCGCUCCUUGGUAUUCCAUGGAGCAUGCCUGUUUGAGUGUCACGUAAACCCUCACCCUUGCGAUGUAAAAAUUGCACGUGGUGGAUUUGGACUGUGCCGUAAUUGGCUCGUCCUGAAAUGCAUUAGCUUGCGCUUUUUAGAGUGCUCGGCAUGGUGUGAUAAUUAUCUGCGCCGUCGCCUUAGGCCUCUUCUGUUGGUGCUGCUUCUAAUCGUCCCUCGAGGACACUUUACUUUAUGCUUUGGCCUCAAUCAGGUANGACUACCCGCUGAACUUAAGCAUAUCAAUANGCGGAGGA